UUGAACCCAGCCAACCGGAAGCGGCUGCGGCUUUCCUGCCCAUAUUUGACGCGCUUCGUAGGAGUAAUUCAGAGAGAGUUUGAGGCGAGCAGCAGCACUGCUAAUCACCGACUCGCCUUUGACAGCCAGUAACUGCCACACAUGCAUGGAGUAGUCCCCCCAACACCAGCACCACCAGUGGAGGAUUUGGCUUUGUUUCUAGCGCUGUUGAACAGGUGCUGUCUCAGCCACGAGCACAGCCGCUGCGGCGUGAAGCCCCUGAUUGGACAAAGAGUGAGAUAAAGACGGGCACAGAACAACUAUGAGCAGCUGUUGGCUCUGAGCCUCUGUGCGCGUGGAAAACAGUCGUGCUGAAGUGCAGGAAGCCGCCAAACCCCGAGUGAAGGUUAUGCUGCCCAAAAGCUGUCUGAGUCCCAGCGAGAAAGAGAAGGGCUAAAGCCGCACCGGUCCAAACCAGCUUCCCAGAGCCGGACUAACAGCAACUCUCCCCCUGCAGAGCCAUGAGCAACCCCAGCGCUCCCAACCAGGUUACAGACGCUGUUGCAUCAGUUGUU
Molecule: long non-coding RNA, 554 nt
Organism: Fundulus heteroclitus (mummichog)
Lineage: Eukaryota; Metazoa; Chordata; Actinopteri; Cyprinodontiformes; Fundulidae
Exons: 4
Source: RefSeq, a predicted model, not a curated record